Molecule: ribosomal RNA, 467 nt
Filed under: uncultured bacterium
Lineage: Bacteria
Description: partial 16S ribosomal RNA
Rfam family: Bacterial small subunit ribosomal RNA
Source: RNAcentral
GACGAACGCUGGCGGCGUGCUUAACACAUGCAAGUCGAACGGAAAGGCCCUGCUUUUGUGGGGUGCUCGAGUGGCGAACGGGUGAGUAACACGUGAGUAACCUGCCCUUGACUUUGGGAUAACUUCAGGAAACUGGGGCUAAUACCGGAUAGGAGCUCCUGCUGCAUGGUGGGGUUGGAAAGUUUCGGCGGUUGGGGAUGGACUCGCGGCUUAUCAGCUUGUUGGUGGGGUAGUGGCUUACCAAGGCUUUGACGGGUAGCCGGCCUGAGAGGGUGACCGGCCACAUUGGGACUGAGAUACGGCCCAGACUCCUACGGGAGGCAGCAGUGGGGAAUAUUGCACAAUGGGCGGAAGCCUGAUGCAGCAACGCCGCGUGCGGGAUGACGGCCUUCGGGUUGUAAACCGCUUUCGCCUGUGGCGAAGCGUGAGUGACGGUAAUGGGUAAAGAAGCACCGGCUAACUACGUG